This 84-nucleotide transfer RNA is filed under the name Usnea pennsylvanica. Its description in RNAcentral is "tRNA-Leu". It matches the Rfam family "tRNA". From Rfam's summary of the family: Transfer RNA (tRNA) molecules are approximately 80 nucleotides in length. Their secondary structure includes four short double-helical elements and three loops (D, anti-codon, and T loops). Lineage: Eukaryota; Fungi; Ascomycota; Lecanoromycetes; Lecanorales; Parmeliaceae. The record is from RNAcentral.
AGGGUAGUGGCGAAAUGGAAAAACGCGUGCGACUUAGGAUCGUUUGAGCUCAAGCUUUUGCCCGUUCAAGUCGGGCCUGCCUUA